RNAcentral lists this ribosomal RNA (253 nucleotides) under uncultured bacterium. RNAcentral's name for it is "partial 16S ribosomal RNA". It matches the Rfam family "Bacterial small subunit ribosomal RNA", at positions 524 to 776 of the family's 1533-position model. The record is from RNAcentral.
GACAGAGGAUGCAAGCGUUAUCCGGAAUGAUUGGGCGUAAAGCGCGUGUAGGCGGCUCGGUAAGUCCGCUCUGAAAGCCCGGGGCUUAACCCCGGGUCUGCGGUCGAUACGGGCAGGCUAGAGUUCGGUAGGGGAGACUGGAAUUCCUGGUGUAGCGGUGAAAUGCGCAGAUAUCAGGAGGAACACCGGUGGCGAAGGCGGGUCUCUGGGCCGAUACUGACGCUGAGGAGCGAAAGCGUGGGGAGCGAACAGG